This 414-nucleotide ribosomal RNA is filed under the name uncultured microorganism. RNAcentral describes it as "bacterial SSU rRNA". It matches the Rfam family "Archaeal small subunit ribosomal RNA", at positions 459 to 872 of the family's 1478-position model. The record is from RNAcentral.
CAGCCGCCGCGGUAACACCGGCGGCCCGAGUGGCGGUCACUAUUAUUGGGCUUAAAGCGUCCGUAGCCGGGUUGGGAAGUCCUCCGGGAAAUCUGGCCGCUUAACGGUCAGAAUGCCGGAGGAUACUCCCAGCCUAGGGAGCGGGAGAGGCCGAGGGGAUUCCCGGGGUAGGGGGGAAAUCCUAUAAUCCCGGGAGGACCACCUGUGGCGAAGGCGCUCGGCUGGAACGCGUCCGACGGUGAGGGACGAAGGCCAGGGGAGCAAACCGGAUUAGAUACCCGGGUAGUCCUGGCUGUAAACGAUGCGGACUUUGUGUCGGACAAGCUAUGAGCUUGUCCGGUGCCGGAGGGAAACCGUUAAGUCCGCCGCCUGGGGAGUACGGCCGCAAGGCUGAAACUUAAAGGAAUUGGCGGG